UAAACGGCUCUUUUCAGAGCCACCCAAAUUUUGUAAAGAGCAUAUU
Molecule: non-coding RNA, 46 nt
Organism: Ciona savignyi (Pacific transparent sea squirt)
Lineage: Eukaryota; Metazoa; Chordata; Ascidiacea; Phlebobranchia; Cionidae
Source: Rfam